GGACGCGGCCGAGGCGUCUUUCUGCCGCCGCCGCUGCCCGCCCGCUCUCGCCGCGCCCCCUGCCCCGUCCCCCCGCGCGCCCCUCACCCCGCGCUCUCGCGUCCCCGCUCCCCUUCCCCCAUCCGUUCCGGGCGCGCGCCACGGGGCCCAGGCGCGCGCCGGCCGGCACGGGGCGCGGGGGCAGGGUGGGCGUUCUGGCCUCGGCGCCUGACCCCAGCCCUCGCCCGGCCCCACGGCGCGGCCGCCAGCUUAGCAUUGUGUUCCCUACAAGAGAGAAUGGAGAGAAAUAAUGAGGAUAGGAAUCCAGUGACAAGUUUCUAAACAAGCCUUCACUUGUACCAUUUCCCAUCCUGAAGCUCUCUAGGGGACCCCAGGCACCAAUCAACCUGAUUGACUUACAAAAUGCACUCUUUUCACACCAGAGAUUCCACCAAAUAUUUAUUCACCGUAUCAUGAGCAUACACUUGAGAAUCAGCUCUCCAGUCUAAUCUGGGCUCCAUCAUCUGACGUGGGUGUGACCUUGUCCAAGUUGUUUAACUUCUCUGGAUAGUUCUUGGUUAAAAGCAAGCAAAACAAAACUAUGUCAGGUUCGGGCCAGGGAUUUAGCUCAGUGGUUUCCCCGCCUGCUGCUCAAGCACAAGGACCCGAGUUUGAUCCCCGGUACCAAAAAAAAAAACACUGCAUCAGGUUGUUAGUACUGAUUAGAUCAACAAACUGUGAAGGACACAGCAUAGUGCUGUCAACAAAGGUAUUCACUAAACACUGGUUUUUCUCCUGUUCCCUGCUUCAUAUGAGUUCCCUUAGAGUCUACCCCUGAAUUGUAUGUGUAUCUUAGUCAAUCUUAAAAGUCAUUCACCUUGAAUAUUUAAGGUAAAAUACAUUUUAAAUACUGCACAUGUUGUGAGAGUGAGUUUUUAAUUAUGAUCCUAAGGAAGUUACUUGUUUCACGAAAAUACUCAAACCUGUAGCUUCAAACUAAAUAGGUAAGAUAGUGUGUAGUGUUUUUAUACGUUAAAAAAAAAAUCUAUGCCUGUUACAAGCAGCUCUUCUAGAAGGUAGGUACUCAAGAAGACUCUCAGGUAUUGACAUCAGAGAAGAUUAACCAGAGUGCCUAGAAAUCUCACCUUGGGCCAGGCCGUACUGUGAUGUUGUAACACAAAGGACAAUAGAAUUCCGAGUAUCAAGUUUUAGAGAUAGUGUUUGGGAUUGAUCAGAACCCAUUAUAUUAGAGAAAUCUUUUCUAAGGUUGUAUUGGAUAUACUAGGAUUUGAUUCAUGCUUUCUGCUUAUUCUGUAUGGAAUAGUUUGAAUAUGUAAGAGGUAAUAUAAAAGUUGACAAACUUGUUUUACUUGUUUCUCAGUGUUGCCAGCGUGUUGCAUGUAUAACACUGAUAUUUAUAGUAAACAUGUUGUUUUAAAUAUUAGCUAGUUCCAUUGAGUUAACCCUAUUAAAUCCUGUGUUCCUAUGCUAUAGUCAUUUAAUGAUUUCUUCCUCCAGUAAGUUGAUAAGUAAUUUGAAAUAGCUUUUAGUGCUGAUAAAUUAUUUGAAAGCAUUGAAGGCAAAAGCAAAGACCUUAUUUUUUAGGAUAAAGUGAUCCUACAACAGACAGAAUAAAUGAGAUCUCUAUCUUACUAUGUGACCUUUUACUAAUUUUUAAAGCAUUCUGGUCCCAUAUUUUUUGUAUGUAAGUGAAAGAGUUAUAGUCUUGUAAAGUCCUUGUCCUAUGUGACUACUUCUAGUUUUUAAUUUUAUGUGUACUUGUGUGUGUCAGUAGGUUAUAGUAUUCAGCAGAGUGAGUUCUAGACUAAACCACCUGAACGCAUUUGUAAAGUUACCUAUCACAAAUUAUACUGAGGAUUUGAAUAGAGAAUCCAGAUAAAUCACUUAGCUCACUGCCACUCUGGAAAUAACCCAUUCUUGAAAACUCAGUUUAAGCCUCGAGCCCGAAUGGUGUUAGUUGUGGACCUUCAGGUAGAGUUGAUCUCUCUGCCAUCCGUGUGCCUUGUGUUCACAAUGUUAAGUUGCUAGCAUAGUGGCUGGUGCUAAGCUUACCACAGAUUCAUCUUCGUGUUUACCUUCUUCCUUAGAUAGUGAGCCCAUUGAGGACAAAGAUGGUUUUAUUCAUCUCCAUAAGUUCAUUGUCCAACAUGGUACAUUUUAAAAAUUAUUUUAUUAUUAUUAUUAUUAUUAUUAUUAUUAUUAUUUUGGUACCGGGGAUCGAACUUGGGUCUUUGGGCUUGCGUAGCAGGCGGCAAAACCACUGAGCUAAAUCCCCGGCCCCAUUUUUAUAAUUUUUAAAUGAGGUUCUUUCCCCUUCUCAGUGGAAGAUAAUUCUGGAGCAACAGUAACAAGUAGAAAUGUUCUAAAAAUAUCCAGUCAUGUUCUUGAAUCAUAUUUUUUUCUUUCCUUCCUCACACUUAUUUCCAUAUAAUAAGAAAGUAAUGAAGUGACUGCCAAAUGAAGGAAACUUUCCAUUAAUGAAAGUACUGUGAUCAGAAAUUGUAUAAGCCAGCAUAACAAUACUAUAGAAAAGUGUUAAUUUUGGAAUUAAAAGUCUUGGAUUCAUAAAAUUAAAAGUCUUGGGUUCAUGUUAUAGCCCUGUUACUUUCUAGCCAUAUGACACUAAUCAAGCUGUAUUAUCUCUGACUACAGAGUGGGGUUUAUUGUUGUUUGGUGAAUAAUGUUUAAUAUGAGAUAAUGUACUGUACUAGUACUGCACCUGGUAAAUAAAAGAUACUCUAAUAUUUCUAGAAUGGAGUUAGUUUUGGUUAAUACUGUACCCAUUAAAUUUGAGAGAAGCCAAAGGCCAGAGAUUUAGGUCAGUGGUGCCACUGCCUGCCUCACAAGCACAAGGUCCUGAGUUCAGUCCCUGGUACCAAAAAAAAAAAAAUUGAGAGAAACUAAGUUAUCUUACCACAUACAAAGUUGUUUCCUGCUGCUAGAAAUACUGUUUAAAUUAGUUGAUUCUCUAAACGGAACUAAAAUGUUAAAUGGUGACUGCUGUAUUUUAAUUCCAUUAUGCUAAUGUUGCAGGGAAGUCACAAAUAUCAAAUGGCAAAGGCAUACCUAACAGUUUAGUUGUGUAAUUAAAGACUUGUUUUCUGAAUCAAAGAGGGCAAGUCUCUCCUUUACACUACUGUCUUGCAGUUAGGUCACUGAGAAUUUGAGACAUGAGCUGAAAACACUAGAACCAUCAAAGUCUCUAAUUCAUUUUCUUAUGAAAGCUGGAAGUAUAGAGAAAACGAUCCUCAAGGUUAUUGACAAAUAAAAUUGGUUACUAGAUAUGCCUUUUAAACUAAUGAUCAUAGCAGAUAAACUGUAUUAUGUUACCUUUAAGAGUUUUGUCCACUUUAUUCCCAGUUACCAUGUUUUAAAACAACCUCUUAAAAUGGACUACUUUUAAUUUCUCCUCAAUGUUUACUGAUUUCAUACUUUUUG
This is a long non-coding RNA of Heterocephalus glaber (naked mole-rat), 3438 nucleotides long. NCBI's taxonomy places the organism in Eukaryota, Metazoa, Chordata, Mammalia, Rodentia, Bathyergidae. The record is from Ensembl.